ACAGCCAUAUCACGCUGAAACACUAAUUCCUGUAUGAUCACUAAAGUUAAGCAACAUCAAACUUGGUCAGUACUUAGGUGGGUGACUGUUUGGGAAUAUCAGGUGCUGUAAG
Molecule: non-coding RNA, 112 nt
Organism: Acanthosepion pharaonis
Lineage: Eukaryota; Metazoa; Mollusca; Cephalopoda; Sepiida; Sepiidae
Source: the annotation of a GenBank genome assembly